Long non-coding RNA from Eubalaena glacialis (North Atlantic right whale), 460 nucleotides. RefSeq lists it as uncharacterized. The record is from RefSeq and is a predicted model, not a curated record. NCBI's taxonomy places the organism in Eukaryota, Metazoa, Chordata, Mammalia, Artiodactyla, Balaenidae. The transcript has 3 exons.
AGAAGAUGGGAAGUAAAGCUAAGAUGUGAACCAAAAUGAUUCUGAUUUGGCUGGACUUGAUUAAUACCACCACUGCUAGCAGGAGAAGCAGAAAAAGCCAUUCAUUAGGAAGAAGAAAGCGGCUUCCCCUGCCUCUCUUUGUGCUCCAGAAUAAGCAGAGAGCGUUUCACAGAGAGAUGGUUUUCCCAAUGGGGACACAACCCUCAGAGAAUGGAAAUGUCAUUGAACAACUGCUGGAAAGCCACUGAAUGUCUCUUGGCACAAAUUUUCUCAUAUGUAGAACAGAGGUUGAUUCAGAGAAGCGGUUUUCAAACUAUGCUUUGAAGCUAUGCUCUGAAGAAUCCUUGGAGUGCCCUCAAAGACACAAAGGGCUGGGAAGAGGGAGCAAGCCAAGUGGGUCACUUUUUUUGAAACAGAGUGACUAUGUUUGACUUUCUUACCUUCAUUGGAAAAAAUUGAG